RNAcentral lists this ribosomal RNA (468 nucleotides) under uncultured bacterium. RNAcentral's name for it is "partial 16S ribosomal RNA". It matches the Rfam family "Bacterial small subunit ribosomal RNA", at positions 28 to 507 of the family's 1533-position model. The record is from RNAcentral.
GACGAACGCUGGCGGCGUGCUUAACACAUGCAAGUCGAACGGAAAGGCCCUGCUUUUGUGGGGUGCUCGAGUGGCGAACGGGUGAGUAACACGUGAGUAACCUGCCCUUGACUUUGGGAUAACUUCAGGAAACUGGGGCUAAUACCGGAUAGGAGCUCCUGCUGCAUGGGGGGGGUUGGAAAGUUUCGGCGGUUGGGGAUGGACUCGCGGCUUAUCAGCUUGUUGGUGGGGUAGUGGCUUACCAAGGCGUUGACGGGUAGCCGGCCUGAGAGGGUGGCCGGCCACAUUGGGACUGCGAUACGGCCCAGACUCCUACGGGAGGCAGCAGUGGGGAAUAUUGCACAAUGGGCGGAAGCCUGAUGCAGCAACGCCGCGUGCGGGAUGACGGCCUUCGGGUUGUAACCCGCUUUCGCCUGUGACGAAGCGUGAGUGACGGUAAUGGGUAAAGAAGCACCGGCUAACUACGUG